CGAUUAGGGUUCGAUUCUGGCUCAGAACGAACGCUGGCGGCGUGCUUAAUACAUGCAAGUCGAACGUGAAUCCCGACUUCGGUUGGGAUGAAAGUGGCGAACGGGUGAGUAACACGUAAGUAAUCUGCCUUCAAGUUUGGGAUAACCCUGCCAACGCGGGGCUAAUACCGGAUGUGGUCCAGCUGACACAUGUUGGCUGGAUUAAAGGUCGCGAGGCCGCUUGGAGAUGAGCUUGCGGCCCAUUAGUUAGUUGGUGAGGUAACGGCCCACCAAGACGAAGAUGGGUAGCCGGCCUGAGAGGGUGUACGGCCACAUUGGGACUGAGAUACGGCCCAGACUCAUACGGGAGGCAGCAGUAGGGAAUUUUGCGCAAUGGACGGAAGUCUGACGCAGCAACGCCGCGUGAAGGAUGGCGGCCUUCGGGUUGUAAACUUCUGUUGGAUGGGAAAAAAAGCCUAGGAAUAGGAAUUGAUGGUACCAUUCGAGUAAGCACCGGCUAACUACGUGCCAGCAGCCGCGGUAAUACGUAGGUGGCAAGCGUUGUCCGGAAUUACUGGGUGUAAAGGGUGCGCAGGCGGGACUGCAAGUUGGAUGUGAAAUUUCGAGGCUUAACCUCGAACCUGCAUCCAAAACUGUAGUUCUUGAGUGAAGUAGAGGUAGGCGGAAUUCCGAGUGUAGCGGUGAAAUGCGUAGAUAUUCGGAGGAACACCAGUGGCGAAGGCGGCCUACUGGGCUUAACUGACGCUGAGGC
This 751-nucleotide ribosomal RNA is filed under the name uncultured bacterium. Its description in RNAcentral is "bacterial SSU rRNA". It matches the Rfam family "Bacterial small subunit ribosomal RNA", at positions 1 to 752 of the family's 1533-position model. The record is from RNAcentral.